ACGUUGUUAGUAUAAUUUAUUAUGCUACUUUUCCAAAGUUGAUAUCUACUUUUUGUAGACAGCGUA
Molecule: transfer RNA, 66 nt
Filed under: Rhinebothrium sp. 1
Lineage: Eukaryota; Metazoa; Platyhelminthes; Cestoda; Rhinebothriidea; Rhinebothriidae
Description: tRNA-Gly
Source: RNAcentral